AUGGCUCAGUGGUAGAGUGCUUGCCUCAUAUGCAUGAGGCCCUGGGUUCGAUUCCUCAGU
RNAcentral lists this transfer RNA (60 nucleotides) under Dipodomys ordii (Ord's kangaroo rat). It matches the Rfam family "tRNA", at positions 7 to 64 of the family's 71-position model. Rfam says of the family: Transfer RNA (tRNA) molecules are approximately 80 nucleotides in length. Their secondary structure includes four short double-helical elements and three loops (D, anti-codon, and T loops). Lineage: Eukaryota; Metazoa; Chordata; Mammalia; Rodentia; Heteromyidae. The record is from Rfam by way of RNAcentral.